This 496-nucleotide ribosomal RNA is filed under the name uncultured Desulfobulbus sp. Its description in RNAcentral is "bacterial SSU rRNA". It matches the Rfam family "Bacterial small subunit ribosomal RNA", at positions 892 to 1382 of the family's 1533-position model. Lineage: Bacteria; Pseudomonadati; Thermodesulfobacteriota; Desulfobulbia; Desulfobulbales; Desulfobulbaceae. The record is from RNAcentral.
UACAGAAACUCAAAGGAAGUUGACGGGGCCCGGCACAAGCGGUGGAGUAUGUGGUUUAAUUCGAUGCAACGCGAAGAACCUUACCUGGUCUUGACAUCCCGGAGACCCUUAGGAAACUAGGGGUGCUUCCAUCUGGAAGAAUCUGGAGACAGGUGCUGCAUGGCUGUCGUCAGCUCGUGUCGUGAGAUGUUGGGUUAAGUCCCGCAACGAGCGCAACCCUUGCCUUUAGUUGCCAGCAGUUCGGCUGGGCACUCUAAAGGGACUGCCGGUGUUAAACCGGAGGAAGGUGGGGAUGACGUCAAGUCCUCAUGGCCUUUAUGACCAGGGCUACACACGUACUACAAUGGCCGAUACAAAGGGCAGCGACACUGCGAGGUGAAGCCAAUCCCGUAAAAUCGGUCUCAGUCCGGAUUGGAGUCUGCAACUCGACUCCAUGAAGUUGGAAUCGCUAGUAAUCGUGGAUCAGCAUGCCACGGUGAAUACGUUCCCGGGCCUU